RNAcentral lists this ribosomal RNA (414 nucleotides) under Lysobacter sp. 1Ub. RNAcentral describes it as "bacterial SSU rRNA". It matches the Rfam family "Bacterial small subunit ribosomal RNA", at positions 505 to 918 of the family's 1533-position model. The record is from RNAcentral. Lineage: Bacteria; Pseudomonadati; Pseudomonadota; Gammaproteobacteria; Lysobacterales; Lysobacteraceae.
GUGCCAGCAGCCGCGGUAAUACGAAGGGUGCAAGCGUUACUCGGAAUUACUGGGCGUAAAGCGUGCGUAGGUGGUUUGUUAAGUCUGAUGUGAAAGCCCUGGGCUCAACCUGGGAAUGGCAUUGGAAACUGGCUGACUAGAGUGCGGUAGAGGGUAGUGGAAUUCCCGGUGUAGCAGUGAAAUGCGUAGAUAUCGGGAGGAACAUCUGUGGCGAAGGCGACUACCUGGACCAGCACUGACACUGAGGCACGAAAGCGUGGGGAGCAAACAGGAUUAGAUACCCUGGUAGUCCACGCCCUAAACGAUGCGAACUGGAUGUUGGGAGCAACUUGGCUCUCAGUAUCGAAGCUAACGCGUUAAGUUCGCCGCCUGGGAAGUACGGUCGCAAGCUGAAACUCAAAGGAAUUGACGGGA